AGAGUUUGAUCAUGGCUCAGAAUCAACGCUGGCGGCGCGCUUAACACAUGCAAGUCGAACGAGAAAGUCCGCAAGGAUGAGUACAGUGGCGUACGGGUGAGUAACACGUGGAUGAUCCACCUCUUAGUGGGGAAUAACUCUGGGAAACCGGAGCUAAUACCGCAUAAGUUCGAGAGAAGAAAGCCGAAAGGCGCUGAGAG
This 200-nucleotide ribosomal RNA is filed under the name uncultured bacterium. RNAcentral's name for it is "partial 16S ribosomal RNA". It matches the Rfam family "Bacterial small subunit ribosomal RNA", at positions 8 to 224 of the family's 1533-position model. The record is from RNAcentral.